RNAcentral lists this ribosomal RNA (253 nucleotides) under uncultured bacterium. RNAcentral describes it as "partial 16S ribosomal RNA". It matches the Rfam family "Bacterial small subunit ribosomal RNA", at positions 524 to 776 of the family's 1533-position model. The record is from RNAcentral.
UACGUAGGGUGCUAGCGUUGUCCGGAUUUAUUGGGCGUAAAGGGCUCGUAGGUGGCCUGUCGCGUCGGCUGUGAAAACUCGGGGCUCAACUCCGAGCUUGCAGUCGAUACGGGCAGGCUAGAGUUCGGCAGGGGAGACUGGAAUUCCUGGUGUAGCGGUGAAAUGCGCAGAUAUCAGGAGGAACACCGGUGGCGAAGGCGGGUCUCUGGGCCAUUACUGACGCUGAGGAGCGAAAGCGUGGGGAGCGAACAGG